This 878-nucleotide ribosomal RNA is filed under the name uncultured bacterium. RNAcentral describes it as "bacterial SSU rRNA". It matches the Rfam family "Bacterial small subunit ribosomal RNA", at positions 28 to 896 of the family's 1533-position model. The record is from RNAcentral.
GACGAACGCUGGCGGUGUGCUUAAGACAUGCAAGUCGUGCGGACCGUAGUAAUACGGUCAGCGGCGGACGGGUGAGUAACACGUGGAUAACCUGCCUGGCUCCCCGGGAUAACAGGCCGAAAGGCCUGCUAAUACCGGGUAAGCUCACGGGGCCGCAUGGUCCUGGGAGAAAAGCUCCUGCAAGGGAGUGGGGUCAGAGGGGUCCGCGGCCCAUUAGCUAGUUGGGGGGGUAACGGCCCACCAAGGCGACGAUGGGUAGCCGGCCUGAGAGGGCGAUCGGCCACACUGGGACUGAGACACGGCCCAGACUCCUACGGGAGGCAGCAGUCGGGAAUUUUGGGCAAUGGCCGAAAGGGCUGACCCAGCAACACCGCGUGAGUGAAGAAGGCCUUCGGGUUGUAAAGCUCUGUUGCCCGUGAAGAACGGUGCUUUCAGGAAAUGGGAAGCACUUGACGGUAGCGGGUGAGGAAGCUCCGGCUAACUACGUGCCAGCAGCCGCGGUAAUACGUAGGGAGCGAGCGUUGUCCGGAUUUAUUGGGCGUAAAGGGCGUGUAGGCGGCUUUUUAAGUCUGAAGUGAAACGCCAGGGCUCAACCCUGGAACUGCUUCGGAUACUGGGAAGCUUGAGUACUCUAGAGGGCAGUGGAAUUCCGGGUGUAGCAGUGAAAUGCGUAGAGAUCCGGAGGAACACCAGUGGCGAAGGCGACUGCCUGGGGAGAAACUGACGCUGAGGCGCGAAAGCUGGGGGAGCAAACGGGAUUAGAUACCCCGGUAGUCCCAGCCGUAAACGAUGAGUGCUAGGUGUAGGGGGUAUCGACCCCCCCUGUGCCGGAGUUAACGCAAUAAGCACUCCGCCUGGGGAGUACGGCCGCAAGGUUG